This 254-nucleotide ribosomal RNA is filed under the name uncultured bacterium. RNAcentral describes it as "partial 16S ribosomal RNA". It matches the Rfam family "Bacterial small subunit ribosomal RNA", at positions 524 to 776 of the family's 1533-position model. The record is from RNAcentral.
UACGGGGGGAGCAAGCGUUGUUCGGAUUUACUGGGCGUAAAGGGCGCGUAGGCGGUCAGCACAAGUCAGUUGUGAAAUCUCCGGGCUUAACUCGGAAAGGUCAACUGAUACUGUGCGACUAGAGUGCAGAAGGGGCAACUGGAAUUCUCGGUGUAGCGGUGAAAUGCGUAGAUAUCGAGAGGAACACCAGUAGCGAAGGCGGCACUCUGGGCCGGUACUGACGCUGAGGAGCGAAAGCGUGGGGAGCAAACAGG